Molecule: ribosomal RNA, 253 nt
Filed under: uncultured bacterium
Lineage: Bacteria
Description: partial 16S ribosomal RNA
Rfam family: Bacterial small subunit ribosomal RNA
Source: RNAcentral
UACGAAGGGGGCUAGCGUUGUUCGGAAUUACCGGGCGUAAAGAGCGCGUAGGCGGUUUUGUAAGUCAGACGUGAAAGCCCUGGGCUUAACCCAGGAUGUGCGUUUGAAACUAUAGAGCUAGAGGACCAGAGAGGUGAGUGGAAUUCCUAGUGUAGAGGUGAAAUUCGUAGAUAUUAGGAGGAACAUCAGUGGCGAAGGCGGCUCACUGGCUGGUAACUGACGCUGAGGCGCGAAAGCGUGGGGAGCAAACAGG